GCAACUUUCUAAAGAUGAAUCGAAGACUCUUUCAAGUCCGAUGGUUAAUGAUAGCAUAGUGCCCAUGGAAGAAGAUGCAGAACCCUAUCCUGAUGGUAGGGAGGAUGCUCUUGAACAUGUUCAUGAUAGUAUUUCUGGUUCUGAAACAGGUGCUGGAAUUUAUAGAAACAACAGCACUGAUGAACCAGAUAUGGUGUCUGCUGAAGUUUUGGAGAUGAAGCAGAAUAGCAAUGCUCCCACAAGGAAGCUGGGGUUUGGUUUAGUAGGCUCAGGAAAACGAACAACCGU
RNAcentral lists this unclassified non-coding RNA (288 nucleotides) under Hevea brasiliensis (rubber tree). The record is from RNAcentral. Lineage: Eukaryota; Viridiplantae; Streptophyta; Magnoliopsida; Malpighiales; Euphorbiaceae.